This 433-nucleotide ribosomal RNA is filed under the name uncultured bacterium. RNAcentral's name for it is "partial 16S ribosomal RNA". It matches the Rfam family "Bacterial small subunit ribosomal RNA", at positions 29 to 507 of the family's 1533-position model. The record is from RNAcentral.
AACGAACGCUGGCGGCAGGCCUAACACAUGCAAGUCGAGCGCGCCCUUCGGGGUGAGCGGCGGACGGGUGAGUAACGCGUGGGAACGUGCCCUUCUCUGCGGAAUAGCCUCGGGAAACUGAGAGUAAUACCGCAUACGCCCUUUGGGGGAAAGAUUUAUCGGAGAAGGAUCGGCCCGCGUUGGAUUAGGUAGUUGGUGGGGUAAUGGCCCACCAAGCCGACGAUCCAUAGCUGGUUUGAGAGGUUGAUCAGCCACACUGGGACUGAGACACGGCCCAGCCUCCUACGGGAGGCAGCAGUGGGGAAUCUUAGACAAUGGGGGCAACCCUGAUCUAGCCAUGCCGCGUGAGUGAUGAAGGCCUUAGGGUUGUAAAGCUCUUUCAGCUGGGAAGAUAAUGACGGUACCAGCAGAAGAAGCCCCGGCUAACUCCGUG